Molecule: ribosomal RNA, 382 nt
Filed under: uncultured eukaryote
Lineage: Eukaryota
Description: partial 18S ribosomal RNA
Rfam family: Eukaryotic small subunit ribosomal RNA
Source: RNAcentral
UGUAAGCGUAUACCAAAGUUGUUGCAGUUAAAACGCUCGUAGUCGGAAUUUGGCAGUUCCGGAUGUGUGCACGUCGUGUGCGCACUUCGCGGGGAUUGCUUUUGUGGUCUUGCGUAGGAUGAGGCACUUUUAUUAGUGAACGUCCUCACGCAACCACUUUUUACUGUGAGAAAAUCAGAGUGCUCAAAGCAGGCAUUUGCCGUGAAUGUAUUAGCAUGGAAUAACAGAAUAGGACUUGGUUCUAUUUUGUUGGUUUGUUGGGACUGAGUAAUGAUUAAGAGGGACAGUUGGGGGCAUUUGUAUUUCGGUGCUAGAGGUGAAAUUCUUAGAUUACCGAAAGACAAACUGCUGCGAAAGCGUCUGCCAAGGAUGUUUUCAUUGA